This 380-nucleotide ribosomal RNA is filed under the name uncultured eukaryote. Its description in RNAcentral is "partial 18S ribosomal RNA". It matches the Rfam family "Eukaryotic small subunit ribosomal RNA", at positions 592 to 976 of the family's 1831-position model. The record is from RNAcentral.
CAAUAGCGUAUAUUAAAGUUGUUGCAGUUAAAAAGCUCGUAGUUGGAUUUGUGGCGUACGGUGGGUUCCGGGCACUUGUUGUCUGAGUAACUUGCUGUUGCCAUCCUUGGGUGGAACCUGUGUGGCAUUAGGUUGUCGUGCAGGGGAUGCCCAUCAUUUACUGUGAAAAAAUUAGAGUGUUCAAAGCAGGCUUAUGCCGUUGAAUAUAUUAGCAUGGAAUAAUGAGAUAGGACUUUUUUGCUAUUUUGUUGGUUUGCGCAAAGAGGUAAUGAUUAAUAGGGACAGUUGGGGGUAUUCGUAUUCCAUUGUCAGAGGUGAAGUUCUUGGAUUUUCGGAAGACGAACUACUGCGAAAGCAUUUACCAAGGAUGUUUUCAUUAA